UACGUAGGGUGCGAGCGUUAAUCGGAAUUACUGGGCGUAAAGCGUGCGCAGGCGGUUCGUUGUGUCGGCGGUGAAAGCCCCGGGCUUAAACUGGGAAUGGCCGUCGAAACUGGCGAACUGGAGUGUGGCAGAGGGGGGUGGAAUUCCGCGUGUAGCAGUGAAAUGCGUAGAGAUGCGGAGGAACACCGAUGGCGAAGGCAGCCCCCUGGGCUGACACUGACGCUCAGGCACGAAAGCGUGGGGAGCAAACAGG
RNAcentral lists this ribosomal RNA (253 nucleotides) under uncultured bacterium. RNAcentral's name for it is "partial 16S ribosomal RNA". It matches the Rfam family "Bacterial small subunit ribosomal RNA", at positions 524 to 776 of the family's 1533-position model. The record is from RNAcentral.